AUACAUUAUUGUGUAUAUGACCUUUGUUUUUUCCUGUUUCAAAUUUAUAUUCCGCAAAGAUUCAAGAUUUUUUUGUUUCUUAAAUACUAAUAAUCAAGAUUAAGAAAUGAAAAGACAAAAAUUUUAAAAUUCAAUAAAACAGAUCUAUGGAAACUGUGAAUGGCAAAAUUUCAAACUUUGGUUGUCCAUUUCGACCAGCUGAAGCCGGCUCGGCAGUACGAGUAAGUUCUCUUUUGAAAAUGAAAAAAAAACCACUAAAAGAUUAAGAUCUUUUAAGUUAAGGUAGAUUCAUGGUAUACCGCCAUCUUGGAUUGUACAAUCACAGUACAAAAUCGCUAGUUAUUUGCCAAUCAGCAAUUUGGAAACAGAUUUGCAAUUUAAUGUUAGACUGUUUAUUUUAUAUAAAGAAAACUUGCUAAUUUAUUGUAUUAUUAAAAAAUUUUAAACAAAUAUCACCUUUUUGUUUUCAAAAAUCAUCUUUUAAAUGAGCAUUUAAGGGAGUCACUCUUUUAGCACAAAAUUUAUCUGGGCUAAUAGGGAAAUUUUUUUUUUUACUUGUGGCAAGAAACAAGUUCGGUGACACCCAGUUUUCUUUUUUUUUUCUUAAAACAUAUUAUAAAACCUAUCUUCUCACAAUUUUUUUCAAAUUCUAUCUCAUGAAAAACGAAAAAAAACACUAAAAGAUUUAGAUCUUUAUAAGUAAGUAUAUAUUAAUUUUUGGAAUUUAAUUUCUUUUCAUAUUGUUCAUCAAAAAUAUUUCACCGAAUAAGGUCCAAAAAUGAAGGUAAAGAUAGAAUUUUAGUGUCAGUUUAAAAUUUUAGAUGUUCAGGACGUAUUAAUGUUGAAAAUAUGCCACACACCGCUAUAUUUUGACCUUUGAUAAAAUAGUACUACUAGAACUAGUCAAAGCUGCAAAGUCAGCUUGUGCCUUAUACAAACUGUCACUUUCUUAAAUUGUGGUUGAACUAAUGUUUAACAAUGAUUAGUGCUCUUGCUCUUGUAAAAACUGUGCUUUAUAUGUUUAUUUAAAAUCAUGUUCUCUUGUGACAUUUAAACAAGUGUGCUUUAACUGUUGUGUAAAAUAACUUAUUGAUUUAGUGCUUUAGUAUAAACAUUAUAAGAAACAUUCAACAUAGGGACUAUUGUUUGAAAUUUUAUAUUGUUCUGUUAUUGUAACUUG
RNAcentral lists this long non-coding RNA (1180 nucleotides) under Mytilus galloprovincialis (Mediterranean mussel). The record is from RNAcentral. Lineage: Eukaryota; Metazoa; Mollusca; Bivalvia; Mytilida; Mytilidae.